Molecule: ribosomal RNA, 303 nt
Filed under: uncultured bacterium
Lineage: Bacteria
Description: partial 16S ribosomal RNA
Rfam family: Bacterial small subunit ribosomal RNA
Source: RNAcentral
AGCAGCAGCCGCGGGAACACGGAGGAUCCGAGCGUUAUCCGGAAUUAUUGGGUUUAAAGGGUGCGUAGGCGGAUAGAUAAGUCAGUGGUGAAAGACGGUGGCUCAACCAUCGCAGUGCCGUUGAUACUGUUUAUCUUGAAUAUGGAUGAGGUAGGCGGAAUGUGGCAAGUAGCGGUGAAAUGCAUAGAUAUGCCACAGAACACCGAUUGCGAAGGCAGCUUACCAAGGCAAAAUUGACGCUGAGGCACGAAAGCGUGGGGAUCGAACAGGAUUAGAUACCCGCGUAGUCCCUGUCUCUUAUAC